GGGGGUCAGUUGGUAGAGCAGUUGACUUUUAAUCAAUUGGUCGCAGGUUCGAAUCCUGCACGACCCACCA
Molecule: transfer RNA, 70 nt
Filed under: Salmonella enterica subsp. enterica serovar Enteritidis
Lineage: Bacteria; Pseudomonadati; Pseudomonadota; Gammaproteobacteria; Enterobacterales; Enterobacteriaceae
Description: tRNA-Lys
Rfam family: tRNA
About the family: Transfer RNA (tRNA) molecules are approximately 80 nucleotides in length.
Source: RNAcentral